RNAcentral lists this unclassified non-coding RNA (2392 nucleotides) under Leguminivora glycinivorella. RNAcentral's name for it is "tubulin polyglutamylase TTLL13-like, transcript variant X1". Lineage: Eukaryota; Metazoa; Arthropoda; Insecta; Lepidoptera; Tortricidae. The record is from RNAcentral.
AUGUCUUUUGCAAAAUUUUAAUGAUAUUAGUAAAUAACACGUAGGAUUGAAUUACUUAUAAAAAUAUGCGAUUUACCAUUUAGUGAUUGUGUACAGAACAUUUUUUUAUGUUUUAGGAUUCCGUUGUUAAGAUAAUAUUUAGCCAUAAGUCCCGAAACUUGGCAUUGACACAUUUAUUGCAAGCCAGAUAAUGUCAAGCUCACUUUUUUAGGUUCUCCAUUUAUACAACUCGAACCCUAAAUGGAGUUGGAGUUGGAAGAUACUUUGUUACGCGAUGAGGAUCAGCCAUCCGAACAGACGUCUAAGAACGCCAGCCCAGUUCUCAAGCGAAAAAAUGAUAAAUCACGAGAAGAAAAAGGGGAGACGAUGGCAAAGGAUGAUCGAGACUACGACGAGUCUAUAGUGUCGCUGAUGCGUAACUACAAUAGCAAACUUAGUGGCGAGGAUGACACGUCGCAACCGACGUCACGCGCCGCGCCUAUUGUCACUUCCGAACCUACCCGCAAGAAAAAGAAGCGAAAGAGAUCCCAGAUAUCGAUAUGCCUCACAAACUGCCGGUAUGAGUCCAUCCGACGAGUGUCCAGCGCCUUCGGCAUGCGAGAGGUGUCCGAAGAAGACGCGUGGAACUUCUACUGGACUGACAUGAGCGUCUCUGUCGAGCGGGCCAAGGAGAUGAAGCGGUUCCAGCGUAUCAACCACUUUCCGGGCAUGCUAGAGAUUUGUCGGAAAGAUCUCCUUGCUCGGAAUUUAAACAGAAUGCAAAAGAUAUACCCGAAGGAGUACAAUUUCUUUCCGAAAACUUGGUGUCUCCCAGCAGAUUUUGGUGAAGCUCUCACGUAUAGCAAGUCGCGGAAAAAUAAGACGUUUAUAAUAAAACCUGAGUGCGGCAGCCAGGGCCGUGGAAUCUAUUUAACGAAAUCGCUGAAGGACAUUAAACCUACUGACAAACUUAUUUGCCAGGUUUACCUCGCCAAGCCAUAUUUAGUCGACGGGUACAAAUUCGAUAUCCGCGUCUACACCCUGAUAACUUCCUGCGAUCCUUUAAGGAUAUUUGUUUACAAUGAAGGUCUUGUUAGGUUCGCCACAUCGCGCUACGCCGACCCGAACGUGAACAACACGACCAACGUGUUCAUGCACCUCACCAACUACGCGCUCAACAAGCACAGCCGGACCUACGUGUACGACUCGGAGGCAGGCAGCAAGCGCAAGAUAUCGACUCUCAACAAGAUCCUGCUCUCGCAAGGCGUGGAUCUGGACGCGCUGUGGCAUUCCAUCGACCAAGUGAUCGUGAAGACUGUCAUCUCCGCCUGGCCCAUUCUCAAGCACAGCUACCAUGCGUGCUUCCCCUCACACGACAUGGUUCACGCUUGCUUCGAAAUUCUCGGCUUCGACAUCCUGUUGGAUCACAAGCUUCACCCGUUUAUUUUAGAGGUGAACCAUUCUCCGAGUUUCCACACGGACACGCAGCUCGAUCGCGAGGUGAAAGAGGGCCUUCUGACGGACACGUUCACUAUGCUCAACAUCUGGCAGUGCGACAAGCGACGAGUGCUUGAAGAAGACCGCCGUCGCAUCCGUGAUCGGCUGCUGCAGACUAACAAGUUCUCGGAGGUCGUUUCCGGCGAAGAAAAGGAGCCAGAGAAAACCCCGUGGCAGACGCAGAUUCAGUGGGAGGAAACGCACUUGGGCAACUUUAGACGCGUAUACCCCGUGGGCGAGCAGUACGCGUGCCUGUUCCAGCAGCCCUCCGGCUCGCUAUACACUGGUACAGCGUCGUCCCGCGCCCGAGGCGACUGCACGCGCCUGCAGCGCGAGGAGUUCCAGCAAACAAAAGCGAAAGCAGAAGCUCUCCUCAAAACAAAACCACCAGGCAAGCCAGCCAAGGACAAUGAGAAGAGAGCCCCGGAUGAAGCCAGCGUGGCCUCCACCAGCGAGAAAACGGCCAAGUCCAAGAAGACGGAAGGCGUGGCCAAAAAGAUGGAGAAUAGAAAGCUGUCUGGGAAGCCGUCGCCUUCGAUUCUCCCGACGGUGGAGGAGAAAGAAGUGAAGCCGACGUACGUGCUGUGCUCGUUCGAGCCGGAUCCCAUUGUGGAGAAGGAGGAGCGCGAACGCGUUAACCAGCUGGCGCAGCGGGACUUCCUCAUACGAAGCUAUGAUCUAUCUUGUGAUGAAGAAAAUGGGCACAUUAAGGCCCGAGGACGAGCGCAAAUACGGCGUUUAUGGUCGUCUGUCUAUCGUCUCCAACUCGCCUAAGGACUGGUCGUGAAUUGCCGUCUGGCCGUGAUGGCGGCGCGGGACGUGUAAAGUCGUCGCAUCACACUGCCACUAUCAUAAGCAACGCUGAUAUCAUUUCUCACAGAAACGUUUGUGCCCCAAGUUGAUGUUAAUCUGCGAG